ACCAGUGAUCUUAUUGCAUCACGACGAAGAGAUAUGGGGUAAAGAUGCAAAGAAGUUCAAGCCAGAGAGAUUCAGAGAUGGAGUCUCAAGUGCAACAAAGGGUCAAGUCACUUUUUUCCCAUUUACUUGGGGUCCCAGAAUAUGCAUUGGACAAAAUUUUGCCAUGUUAGAAGCAAAGACUACUUUGGCUAUGAUCCUACAACGCUUCUCCUUUGAACUGUCUCCAUCUUAUGCACAUGCUCCUCAGUCCAUAAUAACUUUGCAACCCCAGUAUGGUGCUCCACUUAUUUUGCAUAAAAUAUAGUUUAUUACUUGUAAGUAGUGUCUCGUUUUAUGUUAAGCAUGAGUCCAAAAUGUUAAGGCUUGUAGAACUGCAAAAUGGGAAUGCAUUUGCACUCGUGCACUGUAGAUUGUUGUAAUUGGAAUAGCAGAUUGUUUAUCUUAGAGUUUUAAGUUCUGUGUCCAUGGAAUUUUUACAUCAUUAAGUAAAAUUUACGUGCAACAAGUAACUUAUCAUAGUAAGUGAUCACGCCCAACUAUGCCUUAUAAAAAGGACUAAGCGGUCGUUGCAAAUAUAUUCUGGCUAAUAAGUCCGGAACUCACACAAAUUCACACAAUCAAUCUUCAGAAAUAUUUAAGUAACAUAUUGGGUUUUAUUAACUAAAUAUUACGUAAUGAAAAUGUAAUAAUUAACAACUAAUUACGAACGGGUUGUAAACAAGAAUUGGAAUGAUUUAAGGUUGUGAUUUUCCCUAUUGUCGGAAUUUUUUCUGCUACGUUUUCUACAAAUUUGCCUAAGUCUUCUCUAUCGACCAUGAGCACUCUAACUGUCAUAACUCUCUCCCGAGUAAUUACCACAAUUUACUAGGCGUAUUCUCCCGAAUUACGCUAGCUGGCAUUAAGUACAGCUCACUCAGAUCACAUCAAGGUUUCGUUAUCCCUAAACCCACCUUUAAACCUUCGUAUUGAUCCUUUAUAUACGUUUAGGAGUGAUGUUGUUCAACAACUACCUAAAUAUGCACUCUCUCCCGAGUAAUACAUACUAAAUAGGCAUAGCUAACUGAGGGCCCUUCAAUCAACCACAAGAAUAAUAUAGUUGAACAAAUAGAGAAAAUACUACGGCAAAUCUAUAUUAAUGUAACAAGAAAAUCAUCCUUCAAUAGGUUCCAUCAAAACCCUAGAUUAGGAAUUUAUCUACUCAUACUCAUAGUAACGAUAUCCCAAAUAUUUUGUAUAAUUAAAAUACAGAGUAACGAUGAAAAGAUGUAGAAAUGAUGAUUCUAACUCCCAAGGGGUGAUUCCACCAGCUAUUCUUGCCUCUGGCUGCCAAAAACGUCCCUCCAAGUGGUGUUUUUAGGUCUAUUUAUAUGUGUAGAAGAAACCCUAAACGUGUAGGCCAAGCCCUAGUCAAACCCGAAACGAAUUAAGUCUUCAAAACUCGGAUUGGACUUGGCCUCAGGCCUGGCGUCGCCAGCCUAACGCCUGGAAUUUGGCUGGCCUCGCCAGGUCUCUCCUUUUCACUGNNNNNNNNNNNNNNNNNNNNNNNNNNNNNNNNNNNNNNNNNNNNNNNNNNNNNNNNNNNNNNNNNNNNNNNNNNNNNNNNNNNNNNNNNNNNNNNNNNNNNNNNNNNNNNNNNNNNNUUUAAGCACACAAGUGUGACAUCCUCACCUCAAGAUUCGACUCACAAAUACCAUGCCUUAUUCAAAAUUCACUUACUUACUCUGACAUGGAUGUCAACAACAUUACCUUUCCUUUAUGAAUCAUGUGCCCUCACCCAAUCAAAGAGCUUAGUUCCACACACAAUGAAUUUUAAGAACAUAGGAACUCAAGAUAGACAAAAUUCAUUCUCUAUCAGAAAUAACAUUCAUAUGCCACAAAUGAUACACUAUAGGCUUUCCCGUAGUGUAAUACUCUACUAAUCGAGUUCAUUCAGUCUAAGAUCAACAAGGACUUUCAUUAGUUGUAAUGUAGGCUGCGGGUCGGGUAGGAUACAUUUGGAUAUGAGUGACUACACCUCCCUUAAGCACUUUAAUACAUAUACUUUAACACACAUCCCAUACUUAUGCCAAACCAAACAUUCCACCUUUACUUCAAUUUAUAUUACCCCAUAUUUCUUUAAGUAUAAUUACAUUAAGAGUCGCCACUUAUCAAAGAAUAUUCUUUUUCCCAUCAAUACAACUAUUAUUUUUUUUUUCUUUCUUUCUUUUUCAAUUCAGGCGGCUCUUACUUUUUCAAAACAGUUCACCUUUCUCCUUAUUUCAUUAGUUUCACGCAAAAAACCAAAUCAACCACCCCACACUUUAACUUUUACAAAGUUCAUAACAAUUCAAGUGCUCAUUAGAGGUAAAAAGAUUCAAAUAGAUGGUUAAUUCAAAUAAUUGGGUAAGGCUUGUAGUGUGGUUGCCAAAGAAACAGGAUUACAGGCUCAAAGGGGUUAACUACGUUACAUAACUUUUAGGUGGGUAAACUAUAUAUAUCUGGCUUAACAAAGAAACGCCUAUAUCACUUCUCAGACUGAACAAGGCUACUAUUUCGCUUUGCACACACACGGGGCAAGUUCUAGAAAUCAAAUGCAAUGCACAGAAUACAUACAAAACUCACACACACAUGGCACAUAACUCACUCAGGAUUGGUUUCAUCGCGACACUCCAGUCAAAGCAGUUAUGCAAAAUUAGGAAUCUACGAUUUAAGGUACUUAUGCGAGAGUCAAAAAUCGAGCCUAAGCGUCACAACCAUAGUACUAACUAUUCUCAAGGCAUAACAAAGCUAAGAGAUAUUGCUACAAUUAAAUGCAUAGUUUCGUGGUUACUACUCCUAAAAAUUAAAACUAACUACACCCGGUUCAACUAAAAACCACUGGAAAAGAAUCGCGACCCAAAGAAAAACCAAUGGGGAUUUACUACACUACCUACACACAAAAAAAAUCUUUUUGGUAUUUUCUUUUGACUUACUUCCCUCAAGAAAACUGUCUAGGAGAUUCAUCGUCGGGAUGAGUCCAAUUUUUAUUUUAUUUUUAUUUUUAACGGCACUAAAUAACUAAAACACAUAGCCAAAUCAAUUAUUAAACUACUAAAACACAUACUAAAACAAUUAACACUAAAUAACUAAAUAACUAAAAUUAACCAUGUACAAGUCCCCACCCCACACUUAGAUCAUGCAUUGUCCUCAGUGCAUGCACAAAAUGACAAAACACAAAAAAUGAGUAGGGUGUAAAGAAACUCCCUGAUCAAGCAACAUCUUCAUCCUCUGACGCUCUCCACUCCUCAUCAUGUUCGUCGUCCUCCUCCUCAUCAUCAUCUCCCUCACCAUCUGACUGCUCUGGCUCAGCUUCAGACUGCUCCGAUGUAUUGAUAUCCUCAUCAUUCGGGAGUCAGUAUCCAUCUCUUAACCCAACCAGCUGUUGGGCAUGAGCAUUGAGCGGGUACCGGUGCUCCAAUUCAGUCCUCUCCUCAGAUGUGGCCUGUAGACCUCCUAUCCUUAGCUGCAAAUCCAUCAUUAGAUAGAGAUGGGCCAUAAAACUAUCAUCACGAGCGUUGCGCUCGGUACUUGUCAACGAUGUUAUGGCAGUCUCUUCUUUCAGCCGGAGGCUAGUGAUGUCCGUUUAUCGUAGGGGCUGAUCAAUGGUGUGGUCAAACUCUAGCUCCUCCUCAACCUCCUCGUGUCUUAAGUACUGAGUUAGAAAAUUGGCAAUUGGCAUUUGAUCGAUCUUUUUACUCGUUCUGACUACAGACAUCUGGUAGCGGAUCAGAUGAACCACAUUUACCCUUUGACCCGUCAUGAGGAAGUAGAGUACACAGGUCCUCUCACGGCUAAUGAGUGUGUCAUGAUUGCACGGUAGGAGUCGUUCAUUUAUCAGUUUAAGCCACACUUGAGCCUCCGCCCUUAUCUCCUUCUUGGGAAACCUCUUGUGCCGAUUAGUUAUCUUAUCCCGGACCCAUGCUGCCGUAGAAUCGGCACCAUAAAGCAUGUGUCUCAACUCUCUGUAUGUAGGCCGGCGAAUGAAGUGGUCCAAUGUCUCCACAGGAACAUCCGGAGCACCUAAAAAGUUACAUAUGGCCGUGGGUGAAAAUUCUAUCAAUCGUCCACGAAUCGGCACCAGCUGUUCAGUACUCUGCGGAUCAAACCCUGCAUAGAAUUAUUGGACUAAGUUGAGAUUAGUGUUCCCUGUGUUCUUGAAUACAUAGCUCAACCCCAUAUCCUGAAUGCCCCUCCAAAUUGCCUGAUACUUUGCUUUCAAGCUGCGUUCAUUGAUAGCUGCUUCUGGGUGUACAUGUUUAGGCCUACAAUGCCUGUACCAAUCCUUAGUAUGCGGUGGUAUGCUGUUGAUGCCAAACUCCCAUUGGCCUUGUGGUUGUUGACGCAUGGCUGCUAUAGCUGCCACAGCUUGUACCCCACUUAGAUUGAAGGUAGCUUCCCCCCUUUUCUCUUCUUUAGGGGAGGUGCUGAGGUUGCCUUUACUUUAGCCGGCGCAGUGGAAGUAGCCUUGGCUUUGCCUGUGCCUUUUCUGGGAGGCAUCUUUGUUCCUAAACAAAUAAGCAGUAGUCAGAUAAAACUGCAUUACACACUACACACAUAAUAAACUUUUUUUUUCGACUUUCCGAGGUUACUCAGACUUCACCUCGUAUUUUCUUAAUAUUAGAAUCAAAGAACAACACAUGGACUACCCGCGAGCCACCCCACACUUAAGAUUUUAACGUGGUGUAUGACUUCAUAACACUAGUCUAUUAAUCCUGGAGACUCGAGCUCCAAUGGGGACAAGGAAUGCCAUUGAGGCAUUAUAUCAAACACUUAACAUGCAUUAGUGCCAUGGUAGUUCUUAUGGAGAUGAGGGAUUGCCUCAUCCUCCCAAAUCGUCUUGGGGGUUCCGUACUACCACAUGUUUUCAUAAUCGCAACACCAUUCCUAUGGGGUUUCAUGGGGUUGGGGCACACAAACUCAAUACCAUAAUGAAGAACAACCACCAAUUUUUGUGUGUAAUUGUACACAUGUACCUCUCUCGAAAUUACAAAGGAAAGAGAUCAAAUCAUACCUUUGAAGCGUUUGAGAGGAGGGAGCUGCCUGAGAAUUUCUGAUGAGUGUGAAAGAAUAGCAAGACUAAAUUUGACUUCAAUGGGGAUGGGGGAGACCACUAUGGCAAUGUGUUGUUGAGUGUUUGUGGGUGAGGGCAAUUUAUGCAGUGUGUUUAGUUAAGAGCAACGCUGAUGAGAUGAUAUGUGUGCUUGUGAAAUUUGUUUCUUUUAAAGCUUGAUGUGUGUUUGAGGUUAGGGUUGUUUGUAUUGUGUUCAGUGUUUAGGGCGUGUAAUGUGAGGAGGUUCGAUUAAAAUAACUUAAACUGGGCCGAAAUAACUUACCUGGCAUUGCCUGGCCCAGUACAUGGCGUUAGCCAGGCGUCGCCAGCCUAAGGCCAAGCAGAACCUGGCGUUAGCCAGGCGUCGCCUGCCCCAGCGCCUGGUGUACGUCAGGUGAUGCUAAAACCCUGUUCGACUUGCCCAAACUCGCCUGCAAACUUGUUAGUACCUAAAAACAAAACAAAAAAAAAGGAAAAAUUCUAACUACACUAAAAAUCAACUACGAAUUGGGUUGCCUCCCAACGAGCGCCUGAUUUAACGUCGUGGCACGACGCAGAUAAUUGCACUUAAUGCUCGCUUAACCUUGGUGGCUCAAGCAAAUGAGUCACCAACACUACUUUUGCAUCUUCCAUGCCCAAAUAAUGUUUUAACCUGUGCCCAUUGAUUCUAAAAGUGCGAGAGUCAUUUGAUGCAACAAUCUUUAUGGCUCCGGUGGGGUGAAUCUCCACCACACUAAAUGGUCCUGACCAUCGUGACUUUAACUUACCCGGGAAUAACCUCAACCUUGAGUUGUAUAGCAAUACCUUAUCUCCGGGUUUAAAACUCCGCUCAAGAAUAUUUUUAUCGUGCAUUAUUUUCAUUCUCUCCUUGUAUAAUCUUAUGCUCUCAAAAGCGUGGUAACGAAAUUCAUCAAGCUCUUGCAGCUCUGUGACUCUAUAUGUGCCCGCAGAUUCUAUAUCGAGAUUCAACUGUCGUAGUGCCCAUAAAGCUCUAUGCUCCAACUCCACUGGUAGGUGACAUGCCUUCCCAAAUACCCAAUUAUAUGGCAUCAUACCAAUCGGAGUUUUGAAAGCGAUACGAUAGGCCCAGAGUGCAUCAUCUAACUUUCUUGCCCAAUCCAUUCUUGUAGCAUUCACGGUCUUUGUCAAAACACUUUUUAUCUCUUUGUUCGACACUUCUACUUGCCCACUCGUUUGUGGAUGAUAUGGGGUGGAAACUUUGUGAUGUACACCAUACUUUUCUAACAGCUUUGUGAAGGCUCGAUUGCAGAAGUGAGUGCCUCCGUCACUGAUUAUCGCCCUUGGAGUGACAAAUCGGGUGAAUAUGUUCUAUCUCAAAAAACCAAUUACCCCCUUAGCUUCAUUUGUCGGGAGCGCUGCAGCCUUCACCCAUUUUGAAACGUAGUCCACAGUUACGAGUAUGUAUUUGUUACUAUAUGGGCUAAUGAAAGGCCCCAUGAAAUCGAUUCCCCACACGUCAAACACUUUUACCUCUUGAAUUGGGUUCAUAGGCAUCUCAUGUCGGCGGGAAAUAUUCCUAGUUCGUUGGCAUUCGUCACAACCUUUCACCCAUAAGUGUGCAUAUUUGAACAUUGUCGCCCAGUAGAAGCCCGAUUCCAGCACUUUCGCGGCGAUCCUUACUCCUCCAAAGUGGCCACCAUAUGGUGAUGCAUGACAAGCCUACAAAACAGAAGAUUGGUCUAUCUCAGGGAUACAUCUCCGGAUCAUGUUAUCAACACAAAUCCUGAACAGGUAAGGCUCAUCCCAAUAAUACAUGUGACAGUCAUGAAAGAACUUUUUCUUUUGAACAGAGGAAAGAUCAUAGGGGACAUUACCGCUUGCCAGGUAGUUUGCAAUGUCUGCAUACCAUGGCGCUUCCUCCAAUGUCACUGCUAGUAAUUGUUCAUCUGGGAAUGUCUCAGUUAUAUCUUCUACCUCGACUUUCUUUUCAGCUCCCUCCAACCUUGAAAGGUGGUCUGCCACUUGGUUAUCUGCCCUUUUUCUAUCGCGGAUCUCCAAAUCAAAUUCUUGUAGCAAAAGAACCCAACGGAUCAAGCGUGGCUUUGACUCCUUCUUUGCUAUCAGGUACCUAAGUGCUGCAUGGUCAGUAUAAACAAUCACUUUUGAACUAAUCAAAUAAGACCUAAAUUUGUCUAAUGCAAACACCACAUCCAAUAUCUCUUUCUCAGUCACGGUAUAAUUGAGUUGUGCACCACUUAGCGUUCUGCUUGCAUAGUAAAUUGGGUGCACCAGUUUGUCCUUCCGCUGCCCCAGGACUGCUCCUAUAGCAUAGUCACUCGCAUCACAUAUGAGCUCAAAUGGUUGCUCCCAGUUAGGUGCAACGAUGAUUCGUGCAGUCACCAGUCUCCUCUUCAGCUCCUCAAAUGCUAACCUGCAGUCAUCAAAAAUCACAAAAGAAUGAUCCUUUUCAAGGAGUUUACAUAAGGGGUUAGCAAUUUUAGAGAAAUCCUUUAUAAAUCGCCUGUAGAACCCGGCGUGCCCGAGGAAACUUCUUACUGCCUUAACUGAAGUAGGCAGUGACAACUUCUCAAUCACCUCAACCUUAGCAUGGUUAACCUCAAUACCCUUACUGGACACUCGAUGCCCUAGUACUAUACCUUCUUGUACCAUAAAAUGGCACUUCUCCCAGUUCAGCACUAAAUUUGUCUCCACACACCUUUUCAACACUCUUCUUAAAUUAUGUAGAGAGUCUAUAAAUGAAUCCCCUACCACAGAGAAAUCAUCCAUAAAGACUUCCAUAAUAUCUUCAACCAUUUCAGUGAAAAUGGCUAACAUACACCUCUGAAAGGUGGCCGGUGCAUUGCAUAGGCCAAACGGCAUUCUCCGUAAGGCAAAGAUGACAUACGGGCAAGUGAAUGAUGUCUUCUCUCUAUCCUCAAGGGCUAUUGAAAUCUGAUUGUACCCCGAGUACCCAUCCAAAAAGCAGAAGUGAGACCUCCCUGCCAGUCUAUCCAACAUUUGGUCAAUGAAUGGUAAAGGAAAAUGGUCUUUCUGGGUGGCUGUGUUCAGUUUUCUAUAAUCCAUACAAAUUCGCUAACCUGUAACUGUACGAGUUGAGAUUAACUCAUUAUUCUCACUGGGCACUACAGUCAUUCCACCCUUCUUUGGCACACACUGAAGUGGGCUAACCUAGUUGUUGUCAGAGAUUGGGAAGAUGAUUUCCGCAUCUAACCACUUGAUCACUUCUUUCUUCACCACUUCUUUCAUGUUAGGGUUUAGCCUUCUUUGAUGUUCUCUGGAAGGGUUGUGCUCAUCUUCCAAUUGAAUCUUAUGCAUACAAAAUGUCGGGUUGAUCACCCUAAUAUAUGCAAUGGUCCGGCCCAUUGCAGUCUUGCAUUCCAUUAACACCUGUAAAAGCUAUUCUGCCUGCACAUCUAACAAACUGGAUGAGAUAAUAACAGGUAAAGUGGAUUUAGGUCCCAAGAAAGCGUACCUGAGGUGAGAAGUAACGAUUUUAGUUCCAACUGUGGUGGUUCUUCAAUUGACGGCUUAGCUGGAGGUGUUUUUCUUUCUUCUAAGUGUAAGGUCUCGAAUUCGAGCUCUCUUUUCCAGUACCCUCGCCCCUCAAGGGCCAAAACCCACUCUGCUAAGUUUUCACCAUUCAUUUCUUCUAAGUUCACGAGGCAUGCUGCUAGAGGGUCUUUUGCAUUCAGAGUCUCAUCUUCCUCCUCCAAGAUCACAUCCACAGCUUCUAUCAGAGAGAAGUUAGCAAACUCACUGGGUCGCCACAUAGAUUUCUGCACAUUAAACGUUAUCUCUUCAUCGUUCAAUAUCAUCUUUAGCUCUCCAGUUUCACAAUCAAUUAGGGCUCUCCCAGUGGCCAAGAAUGGCCUUCCCAAAAUUAUGGGAAUAUCCUCGUCAACCCGGCAGUCUAAAAUGACAAAAUUUGCUGGGAAAACAAACUUCCCCACCUGUACUAAUACAUCAUCAAGGAUACCAGAGGGCCUCUUCACUGUCCGGUCGGCCAGCUGUAAUAACAUAGACGUGGGUCUAGCUCUUCCAAUGCCUAACCUUUUGUAGAUAGUCAAGGGCAUCAAGUUUAUGCUUGCCCCCAAAUCACAAAGUGCCUUAGCAAAUGCAUAGUUGCCUAUUGUGCAUGGGAUUGUGAAACUCCCUGGAUCUGAUAACUUCUCAGCUAUGGGUCUUGUCACAACAGCACUACAUGUCUGAGUCAGUGUAACCGUGGCCAAGUCUUGAAAGUCGAACUUACGAGACAUUGAGUCCUUCAUUAUUUUUGCAUAACCCGACAUUUCCUUUAAGGCGUCAAUCAAUGGAAUGUUUACCUGAAUUUGCUUCAACAUCUCCAAGAAUUUCUUAUAUUGCUCAUCUUUUUGAUAUUUGGCCAAUAUUUAGGGGAAGGGUGCUGGAGGCCACUUCUUUCCUGUGAUUUGAUUUUAAACCUGCUCUGGCACUGUUUCUGCUGCCUUCUCUUGCUCUGACUUAGUUUCCUUCACGACUUCUUUUUCUUUGCUUGUUUUAGCUGGCGCAUGUUGUACCGUCACCUCUGUUAACCCUGUUGAGUCAUCUAUCUUGAUGGGUACAGGCACAGGUGUUUCAGUAGGCCGGCUUUUGCGAGCCAUCUCUUGCUCCAGAUCUAGGUCUCUACCAUUUCGUAGACUCACUACCAUAAGCUGUUUCGGGCCCUAUUCUUUUGGAUUGACUUGUGUAUCUGCAGGUAAUAUCCCUUGGGGACGAUUGUUUAGGGCCAUAGAAAUUUGUCCUAAUUGAAUCUCAAUACCCUUUAUCGCUGAUUCAUGCGAGUCUACCCUCUGUUGUAUUUUUCCCGUGGACCCAAUCAAUUGUUGUUGUCCAGCAUUCCCUCAAGUUUAGUAAACCUAUCAUCUGGUCUCAUAAUCUAUUGUUGUUGAGGUUGUUGAUAAGUCAGCUGCUGAUUUUGCUGGAUGUAGCCCUGUUGCCUUUGGUAAGGCGCAACUUGACCCAGUGGUCACAUAGCUCCAAGAUUGUUGUUGUUAUUGUACUGCUGCUACGCUGGUCUAUAUUUUUGAUUAUGUUGACCCCAAUUCUGACCACCUUGCCUCUGUCCCCCAUAGUUGGCUACAUAAUUCAUAUCUUCCUGAUAUUGCUGGUUGUCACCUUCCGCACUCCACGAGCAAACAUAUAGUUGGUUAAUGCAUGGUGUACAUAAGCCCCCAUUAGUUGUGUCAACUAUGUGAACCUGCUGCUUCUGGCCUGAUUCAUCAAUCUUUUUGGUGAGGAUACUCAUUUGUGUCAUUAGAGUGGCCACAUUCUCAGCUAUGGAGUUGUUUGGGUCCAACGCCACUGAGUGAACUACCGGAGUGAUCGUGGAGGCUCUUGUCAUCCGUCCAGAGUUUUGUGCCAUCUUAUCAAGUAGGAUCUUGCAUUCUGCGAAUGUUUUACUCAGAAAUGCUCUACCUGCUGAAGCAUCAACAUUAGCCUUUAAGCUGUCAGCCAGUCCCAUGUAGAAUCUCUGCCCCAACAUCUGAUCUGGAAUACCAUGAUGUGGACACUUAACCAGCAUGCCCUUGAACCUCUCCCACAUUUCUUUUAGUGAUUCUGUUGGUCUCUGCCUGUAGCUCAAUAUAUCAUCAAUCUGUUGGGCAGUUUUAUUUGGUGGAUAGAAUUUGUUCAAAAAUUUCUUGACUAAUUCCUCCCAAGUAGUGAUGGAAUUUAUGGGGAGUGAAUUAAGCCAAGUCUGAGCUUCUCCUGUCAGCGAGAAUGGGAACAACAAAAGCUUUAUUGCGUAUGGUGUUACGUUAGGUUGCCUUUGCGUUAAACAUAUUGACAGUAAAUUCAUCAAGUGCUGCUGAGGAUCUUCAAUGUGUGACCCUGAGAACAGUCCCUUGUUCUGCAACAAAUAUAGCAUGUUAUUUGUGAUUUGAAAUGGUUCUGCUUGUAUCUGAGGGACUGCAAUUGCGGUUGCCAGAUUGGCAGCAGUGGGCUGUGCCCAAUCGUAUAAUGUUGUUUCUGGUACAAGAGGCACCACACCCCGAAUGUUUGGUUCAUUCUCAUUGUUUCUGAUGUUGAUUGGAUUUUCUAUUCCGUCAGCCAUGGUUGGUUCGAUUUGUUCUGUCGAGUUUCGUUGCUGUUCGCUUUUCUUGUUUGCAUGAUUUAGUGCCUUGAAAACUUUCUCAGGAUCUGAUAACACUUCAAGCAAUUCACCAGUUCUUGAGGAGUUCCUAGGCAUGCACCUGUAACACCCAAGACUACAAAUGUUAAAAUUUCAAUGUAUUUGGUUUAGAAUGGAGAAAAUUGACUACACUAAGAAUUCUAGCACUUCUUUUAGUUGCAAUUAAUAACACCGUUAAUUCCCCGGCAAUGGCGCCAAAAUUUGAUCACGCCCAACUAUGCCUUAUAUAAAGGACUAAGCGGUCAUUGCAAAUAUAUUCCGACUAAUAAGUCCGGAGUCGAAUCCCACAAGGAAUUAACCUAUCAAACACAGCUACUAGACUCGCACAAAUUCACACAAUCAAUCUUCAAAAAUAUUUAAGUAACAGAUUGGGUUUUAUUAACUAAAUAUUACGUAAUGAAAAUGUAAUAAUUAACAACUAACUACGAAUGGGUUGUAAACAAGAAUUGAAAUGAUCUAAGGUUGUGAUUUUCCCUAUUGUCGGAAUCUUUUCUGCUACGUUUUCUAUAAAUUUGCCUAAGUCUUCUCUAUCGACCAUGAGCACUCUAAUUGUCGUAACUCUCUCCAGAGUAAUUACCAAAAUUUACUAGGUAUAUUCUCCCGAAUUACGCUAGCUGGCAUUAAGUACAGCUCACUCAGAUCGCAUCAAGGUUUUGUUAUCCCUAAACCCACUUUUAAACCUCCGUAUUGAUCCCUCAUAUACGUUUAGGAGUGAUGUUAUUCAACAACUACCUAAAUAUGCACUCUCUCCUGAGUAAUACAUACUAAAUAGGCACAGCUAAUUGAGGGCCCUUCAAUCAACCACAAGAAUAAUAUAGUUGAACAAAUAGAGAAAAUACUACGGCAAAUCUAUAUUAACGUAACAAGAAAAUUAUCCUUCAAUAGGUUCCAUCAAAAUCCUAGAUUAGGAAUUUAGCUACUCAUACUCAUAGUAACGAUAUCCCAAAUAUUUUACAUAAUUAAAAUACAGAGUAACGAUGAAAAGAUGUAGAAAUGAUGAUUCUAACUCCCAAAGGGUGAUUCCACCAGCUAUUCUUGCCUUUGGCUGCCAAAAACGUCCCUCCAAGUAGUGUUUUUAGGUCUAUUUAUAUGUGUAGAAGAAACCCUAAACGUGUAGGCCAAGUCCUAGUCAAACCCGGAACGAAUUAAGUCUUCAAAACUCGGACUAGACCUGGCCUCAGGCCUGGCGUGGCCAGCCUAACGCCUGGAAUUUGGCUGGCCUCGCCAGGCUAAAACCUAGUUCAGCCUGGCCUUUGGCUGGCCUCGCCAGGUCUUUCCUUUUUACUGUUCUCGAGCACACUUUCAACGUUUAAGUAUCCCUUUUGCUCUACUUUCAUCUCCAAUUCACCUACACAUAAAAUAGACUCCAUUAUGCGCAAAUAAAGUAUAAUUUAUCAUUAAAGCAUGUAAAAUGCAAGGCACAUAAUGUACGAAAUUAUGGAAUUAUAGCCACACAUCAGUAAGCUCGAUAUUAUGAGCUUAGAAAAAGAGUACCAACUUAUUAUAGCCAGAGGUGGAUAUAUUAUUUGAAGUUUAUGAGUUCAAAAUGUAAGUGAAUGCACUAAUUAUUUGAGUAACUGGUAAUUUAGUAGAUUUUUUAAUACUUAUAUAGAGUCUGAGCCAAAACUAUUGAUUCAGCUAAACCCGUAGCUUUAAUGGUGCAUCCGUCCCUCAUUAUACCAAAUAAAUUGCAAAGAUAGUAUAAUAAUUCUUUACAAAAUUCAGCUUCAUCUACUUUUUCAAAUAAUUUUACUACUAGUAGAUAAGUGCAUAAAAUGGAAUAAAAGGUAGAAAAAGAUUCAUGAGCAAAUUCUUUUUGGGAAGAGUUAAUAUACCAAAACUCUCCUAAAUGUGCUCGUUUUGCAAGUUUCAUACUUAAACUAUGGAGGCUUCUAUAAUCCUCUAUACUACAUUGUUCUCAUAUGUUUAAAAAAAAGAAGCUUUAUUUCAAGUGUAUUGCCACAUGGCAGUUUUAAAAGGGAUUUUUGGAGGGUGAGACUCAUGCAACUAGAGACAGAUCCAAGAUUUAAUGCUUAUGGGUUUCUGCAACGAUUCCGAUUAAAUUUUUAAUAGUAACUGGGUACACAUUCAAUUAUUUAUAAAUAUUUAGUAAAUUUUUCGAACACAUUUACAUUGUUUGAACAAAAUUUACUAGGUUCACGUGAACCCGUAGGUUGAGAGGUGGAUCCGCCCCUGCAGACAACACAUCAUUUUCCUUGGGGGUGGGGGGCUAUGUUAAUAAACAACAACAACAACAAUAACAACCCAGUAUAAUUUCACUAGUGGGGUCUGGAGAGGGUAGUGUAUACGCAGACCUUACCCCUACCCUGGGGUAGAGAGGCUGUUUCCAAUAGAAACUCGGCAUCCUUUCCUCCCAGUAUAAUUCCACUAGUGGGGUCUAGAGAGGGUAGUGUGUACGCAGACCUUACCCCUACCCUGGGGUAGAGAGGCUGUUUUCAAUAGAAACUCGGCAUCCUUCCCUCCAAGAACUCCCCACCUUGCUCUUGGAAUGAAUCGAACUCACAACCUCUUGGUUGGAAGUGGAGGGUGCUUACCAUCAGAGCAUCUCACCUUGUCUGCUAUGUUAAUAAAGAACAAUGUAAUUCAUGGGUAAUAGAAACUCUCCAUAGUUUAAGAAAUUCUCCAUAGUUUAAGUAUGAAAAUUGCAAAACAUGUAUGUAUAGGAGAAUUUUGAUGUAUUAACUCUUUUGGGCAUUUUAAAAAUUUCUUCAUUUAGUAAGAAAUUGAGCCCCAAAAAAGUGUUCGUGUCUUGAAUUUCUUCUAUAAAAAAAUUUCACUUAGUUUACUAACUCUCUAACUAGUAUGAACCUCAAAAGGGAAAAAAGAAAAAGAUCUUCUACAGACUACAGACACGCUCUUCAUAUCUACUAAAGUUUUUUCCUCUUACUUUUCUUCUUCUUUUCUCCCAGUGUACCACAUCGCAAUUAACAUCCCUUUUGUAAAUUUGUGGAGAAAAAAAGAUACUGUUAUAGUUAGAAAUAAUUUAUUUUAAAAUUUUAUUUUACUGUUAAUAUCAUAAUUUUAUAACUACAAAAGUAUUUAAGAUCAUAAUUUCAUUAUCUUUUUAUCUUUUCAUAAAUGAGGUUCACAUUCACAUAAAAUUAAAUAGAGGUAGUGGUUGAAUUCUGUUAUUUUGUCGGAUUUGCUAGUCAUUGAUGGAGACCUUUUGGUUUUAUCCCACAUGAUUCACGAACUUGGUAGAUACUCCCUUCGAUCGAUUUUUUGGUUUUGUUUGUGGUUCACAAUAUUUAAUUUUUUUUCAGAUAUUAAGAAAGAAUUAUAACUUUCUUUUCAAAGUUGUCAGAACCAAACAAUCAGUGGAUGCGGGAGUAAUAUAUAAUAUGCAAGUUGUAGAAAGAGAAAAAAAAAAUCAAGUAGCUAUUCUAUACUGGGGCACAAAUAGUGAGUGAAAAUGGAGACUGUUCAAAUCAUAAUAACAGCAUCUUGUGCUGCCAUAAUAAUUACUCUAGUGGUGUGUAUUUGGAGAGUACUGAAUUGGGUUUGGUUCAGACCAAAGAAGCUGGAAAAACUAUUGAGGAAACAAGGUCUCAAAGGCAACUCCUACAAGAUUUUGUAUGGGGAUAUGAAGGAGCUUUCUGGUAUGAUUAAGGAAGCUAAUUCCAAACCCAUGAAUCUUUCUGAUGAUAUUGCACCAAGAUUGGUGCCUUUCUUUCUUGACACCAUCAAGAAAUAUGGUAUGUUUCACAAAUCCCUCGUUCAUUUUCUUCACUCAUGACCACUCUUUUAUUUUCUAACCAUAUUGUUCGGGACAGUUUGUGCGCCUCUCGUCUAAUUUUACAUAGGUUAACCAGUUUUCGGAGUGAGUAAUCGAAAAAUAGCUAGCGUUUGCAAAGUCAUUGAAAAAAUAGCCAUUAUUUUAUGCGGAGAUAAAAUCUAGACAAAAAUACCCUUGUUGAAACACGGAAAGUUACAGCAUAAUGUGCUAAAUUAUGGAGCUCUUGCUUAUAAACUUGUAGUAUAUUAUGUUGGAAUUCUAGCACAUUUGUAAUCUCAUAUGUAAAAAAUUCGAAAUUGCAGUAUAAUAUACUGGAAUUUUUUCCUAUUUUUAAGGAUAUUUUUGUUCACAUUUAUCUUUAUAUGAAAAAAUGGCUAAAUUUCGAUUACUUUUAAAACUGUGACUAUUUUUCAGUUACCAAUUGUAAAUCAAGCUAUUUCUGAUUUUUUCCCAAUUUCACAGGGUACCUGUAUCGGGUAAUAAGUCACAUAGCAUUUUUGUCUCUGCUGCGAUUUGAGCAUGAGACUGCAUGGUUCUCAAUCCACUUCUUGGAUGCUUUACUCAUAACCACUUAGUUGACUGAAUAACUUGAAUCUCUUAUAAAAUUGUCCAGCUGAAAUAGAUAAAGACCAGUUGUGUCAAGAUUUCAAUUUGUUUAUCCCUCCACUAAUUCUACUUAUCACAUUCUCUGUCUUACUUGCUGAAGACAUGAAGUUGGAUCUUGAAUCCCCAAAGUAUGGGGGUUUAGUCGGUACAACCCACCUCAACUUUGUUCUUAGGCACUAAACUUAAAAGAAGAUAAACAAUUGCAUGAUUAACUGAACUCUGAUCCUAUGCAAGCUGGUACUGUGUUCCAUGUUAUCUUCACUGACUUUUUAAUCCCCUGAUCAGUAAAUCUGUCAUUGUAUUAGGCAUGACAAACGAAAGAUUGAACAAAUUGAAAAAUAAGUUCCAGAAUUGACUAGCCAUCGUGCACUGCGGAAAGAAAUGAUUGCUGCUCUCCUCGACCAUAUUAGACAAGUAGCACUUACUGCAAAUCAUCAUCCCCCUUCGUUGUAGAUUACAUUGGGUUAGGCGUGUCUUCAUGUGUAAGCAGCCACAUGAAACAUGCUAACUAAUAGGGUGCUUUAGUUUUUCAUAGUUGCUUCCAAGGCCAAGUAUGAUUGCUUCCGGGGACCUUGUUUAACUCUAUGUAACAUGAGCCAACUGAGAAGAUCCAGUUAUGUUGCAUUUUCCACAUUAGCUUGAUCUUCUUCUUCUGCAUUUAGGUUCACUAAUCUUUUAACAAAAGAGCCACUCUUGGUAUUUCCUGAUAAAAACAAAGCCUCCUAUUAUUGACGCAGCAAUUGCUUCCUUCCCAACAUUGUUAUACCAGUGAGUGCAUUCAAAAGAGAAGCUAUAAAGAUCGCUAUAAGACAUCAUAAGAGGAGUGUAACCAAUUAAACUGGCCCUUAUUUUAAUUGCAAGGUUAGGUUUUGGAACAUGGAUUUUGAAGAUCUUGCAUUGUGCCUUCUUCUGUCCUGCUCGCUUUUUUAAUCUUUCAAAAGCCCUGAUAGUUUCAUUUUUAUGUUGGAUAGAUAUUCAUCUUCAGUUUGGAGUAGUUAAUAUGGAAACAUCUGCUUGCAGGUAAAAAAUCCUUUGUAUGGUUAGGUCCGAAACCACUGGUUCUUAUCAUGGACCCUGAGCUUAUAAAGGAAAUAUUUUCCAAAUACUAUCUGUAUCAAAAGCCUCAUGGAAAUCCAGUUACCAAGCUAUUAGUACAAGGACUAGUAAGCCUAGAGGAAGACAAAUGGGCCAAACAUAGAAAAAUCAUCAAUCCAGCUUUCCAUCUAGAGAAGCUAAAGGUUUGUAACUGCAAUGGAUUCGGUUUAAGUUGUAUUUUUAUGUUUUCUUUACUCUUCUUUUCAUUGAAACAGCAACUUAAUUAUGAUUCUUUUUUGAGGUAUGUUUUUGGAACCAUCUUGUGUUCCUGAUUACAAAGUCGAUACAUUUUGAAGAACUGUCCGUUCAUUGAGUUUUUUCUCUUAACCAUUUCUUAAACAGCAUAUGCUUCCAGCUUUUUGCUUGAGCUGCACUGAGAUGCUGUGCAAAUGGGAAGAUAUUGUUUCAAUUAAGGGCUCACAUGAGAUAGAUGUAUGGCCUCACCUUGAACAAUUAAGUAGCGAUGUGAUCUCUCGGACAGCUUUUGGCAGUAACUUUGAAGAAGGUAAAAGGAUAUUUGAACUUCAGAAGGAACAAGCUCAGUAUUUUGUAGAAGCUAUACGCUCGGUUUAUAUACCAGGCUGGAGGUAAUUUGAUUUGCUUUAACAAUAGUCAUAUUACUCCUACUCAAAGUUCAUCGGGAAGUGCAACACGGUUAACUCUCACUCUAAUGUUUGAUUAUUUUGUUGAUGCAUAUUGCUUUCCCUUUUUCAGAUUACUUAAUUAUUAAACUAUUUCACAGGUUUUUGCCAACAAAGAGGAACAGAAGAAUGAAGGAAGUUGAAAAGGAUGUUCGGGCCUCGAUAAGAGGCAUUAUUGAUAAAAGAGUGAAGGCAAUGAAAGCAGGAGAGGCGAGUAAUGAGGAUCUACUUGGUAUAUUGUUGGAAUCUAAUUUUACAGAAGCUGAACAGCAUAGACACAAGGAUUCUGCGAUGAGCAUUGAAGAAGUCAUUCAAGAAUGCAAGUUAUUCUAUGUUGCUGGCCAAGAAACUACAUCAGUGUUGCUUGUGUGGACUCUAAUAUUGUUGAGUAGGCAUCAAGAUUGGCAGAGCCGAGCCAGAGAAGAGGUGUUUCAAGUCUUUGGUAAUCAGAAACCAGAUUUUGACGGAUUGAAUCGUCUAAAAGUUGUAAGUGUCCUCGUUUGUUGGUUCAAUUACUCAGCCAUGGGAUUUAUGGCUGUUAUUGCAAUUAGAUGGUGCUUUUUUUUAUAAAGUAAUAAAUUUAGUAUACCAAAAAGAAGAAAACCUACAAAAAGAGAUGGUUUCUACAAACGACACCCAAUCUUCAAUACACAAAGGAAUCUCAUGAGUGCACCAAAAAGUAAAAGGGAUAAGAGGCCACUCCUCAACCGUACAAAAUUCAUUUUUACACCCUCAAAAGCUCUCCUAUUUCGGUAUCUCCAAACUACCAACAUGAGUGCGAGAGGAGUCACAUUCCAUGCCCUACGAUUUCUCCUUCAUUUUCCACUAUUCCAGCUGAACAUUAACUCCUUUAUAGUGUCAGGCAUCACCCAUCCAAUACCAAACCACCUCAGGAUUUCCCACCAUAGCCUUGUAACUACCUGACGAUAUAGAAGAAGAUGUCCCACGUUAGCCUUGCACAUGUAGCACCAACUCACAUAAGUGACCUUCCUCUUUCUCAAUUUUUCAGCCGUCAAAAUCACCCCUUUUAUUGCUAACCAAGUGAAAAGACACAGCUGCCUUGGUACUUUAGGGAUCCAAAUCAAGUUACGUGGAAAGUCAACCUCUUCCUUAACCAAGAGCUUCUCAUAGUAUGACUUUAACGAAAAUAUUUCAUUGUUCCCCGCCUCCUCACUUCCAUUCAUCGUGGAUAUCCCGCGGUAUGCUUUGUUUAUGGAGCAAGUCAAUCAAGUUUUGGAACUCUGGCACCUCCCAAUCUUGUAGAUUUCUUCUAAAACUCAAAUCAUAGAAAAUAUCUCCACUUUGAGACCUUCGGACUUGAUUAGACAAGAAUUGCAUUUUAAUCUAUGCUUGAUAGUGGAAUAGAUAUAGCGAUGUUUCCCCUAGGGAAAUCAACUCUAUAUCCUUGCUUUCUUGAUGUUAGUGGAUCCAUCCAAGCAUGAGCAGGCGCAGAUGCAGUAUAUAGGCAGUGGGUUUGUCCACAUCCAUUGUUUCUGCUUUAACUCAAACAAUUUAUAGGAAAAAAAUAUAAUUAAACUAAGUUCACUCUCAUUUUGACAAAAGUGUAAUGAGUGCUGUAGUACUGUUCAACCAUGUACUUAAAACUCUAGAUCCUCUUAUGAUCAUUAGGGACAACUCGCCCCCCACCCCACCCCCAAAGAAAGGGAGAUGAAAUGUGGUUUUCUCAUUUGCAGGCUGGUCCCGAGCUAAAUGAGUACUUCACUAGGAAUAGUUUGGGCACAAAUCUUAUGUCAAGUCUUUUUUCAUGAUAUAUAUAACUGAUGGAGUACCUUUUGCUGCAGGUGACAAUGAUCUUGUAUGAGUCUUUAAGGCUAUACUCCCCAGUAGUGUCACUAAUCCGGCGGCCUAAUGAGGAUGCUAUAUUAGGAAAUGUAUCUCUGCCAGAAGGUGUGCUACUCUCAUUACCAGUGAUCUUAUUACACCACGAUGAAGAGAUAUGGGGUAAAGAUGCAAAGAAGUUCAAUCCAGAAAGAUUUAGAGAUGGAGUCUCAAGUGCAACAAAGGGUCAAGUCACUUUUUUUCCAUUUACUUGGGGUCCCAGAAUAUGCAUCGGACAAAAUUUUGCCAUGUUAGAAGCAAAGACUGCUUUGGCUAUGAUCCUACAACGCUUCUCAUUCGAACUGUCUCCAUCUUAUGCACAUGCUCCUCAG
This 19468-nucleotide long non-coding RNA is filed under the name Nicotiana tabacum (common tobacco). RNAcentral's name for it is "long non-coding RNA (NTAB_LNC002681)". The record is from RNAcentral. Lineage: Eukaryota; Viridiplantae; Streptophyta; Magnoliopsida; Solanales; Solanaceae.